GCCGGAGUAGUUCAGUGGCAGAACGUCACCAUGGUAAGGUGAAAGUCGAGAGUUCGAUUCUCUCCUCCGGCU
This 72-nucleotide transfer RNA is filed under the name Candidatus Kaiserbacteria bacterium RIFCSPHIGHO2_01_FULL_48_10. RNAcentral describes it as "tRNA-Thr". It matches the Rfam family "tRNA". Rfam says of the family: Transfer RNA (tRNA) molecules are approximately 80 nucleotides in length. Their secondary structure includes four short double-helical elements and three loops (D, anti-codon, and T loops). The record is from RNAcentral. Lineage: Bacteria; Candidatus Kaiseribacteriota.